AUUGCCUCAGUAACGGCGAGUGAAGCGGCAACAGCUCAAAUUUGAAAUCUGGCUCCCCUUGGGGGUCCGAGUUGUAAUUUGGAGAGGAUGUUUCUGGCGCGGCGCCUUCCGGAGUUCCUUGGAACAGGACGCCACAGAGGGUGAGAGCCCCGUACGGUCGGCCGCCAAACCUUCAAGAAACUCCUUCGACGAGUCGAGUAGUUUGGGAAUGCUGCUCAAAAUGGGAGGUAAAUUUCUUCUAAAGCUAAAUACCGGCCAGAGACCGAUAGCGCACAAGUAGAGUGAUCGAAAGAUGAAAAGCACCUUGAAAAGAGGGUUAAACAGUACGUGAAAUUGUUGAAAGGGAAGCGCCUGCGACCAGACUCGCGCCCCGCGGACCAGCCGGCGUUCUCGCCGGUGCACUCCGCGGGGUGCGGGCCAGCAUCGGUUUUCCCUGGGGGAGAAAGGCCGCGGGAACGUAGCUCCUUCGGGAGUGUUAUAGCCCGUGGCGCCAUGCCCCAGGGGGGACCGAGGACCGCGCUUCGGCAAGGAUGCUGGCGUAAUGGUCGUCGGCGACCCGUCU
RNAcentral lists this ribosomal RNA (562 nucleotides) under Ceratocystiopsis weihaiensis. RNAcentral describes it as "partial large subunit ribosomal RNA". It matches the Rfam family "Eukaryotic large subunit ribosomal RNA", at positions 74 to 654 of the family's 3401-position model. The record is from RNAcentral. Lineage: Eukaryota; Fungi; Ascomycota; Sordariomycetes; Ophiostomatales; Ophiostomataceae.